This is a small nucleolar RNA of Acomys russatus (golden spiny mouse), 132 nucleotides long. RefSeq annotates it as small nucleolar RNA SNORA17. The record is from RefSeq and is a predicted model, not a curated record. The transcript has a single exon. Lineage: Eukaryota; Metazoa; Chordata; Mammalia; Rodentia; Muridae.
CCUGCCCCUAGAGGUACUGCAGGCAUGGCUUCUGUGUCACACGUGCAUCAAUAGGUGACAUAAAGGGGAGAGGCUAUGUCUAAAUUCAGUGUUAUGACCUAUUAACAUCUGAGUAAUUAGUAUCCUAACAGU